AUUGAACGCUGGCGGCAGGCUUAACACAUGCAAGUCGAACGAGUGGCGGACGGGUGAGUAAUGUCUGGGAAUCUGGCUGAUGGAGGGGGAUAACUACGGGAAACGGUAGCUAAUACCGCAUACCAUAGGAUGAGCCCAGGUGGGAUUAGCUAGUUGGUGGGGUAAAGGCUCACCAAGCCGACGAUCCCUAGCUGGUCUGAGAGGAUGACCAGCCACACUGGGACUGAGACACGGCCCAGACUCCUACGGGAGGCAGCAGUGGGGAAUAUUGCGCAAUGGGGGCAAGCCUGACACAGCCAUGCCGCGUGAAUGAAGAAGGCCUUCGGGUUGUAAAGUUCUUUCGGUAGGGAGGCGUUACCUACAGAAGAAGCACCGGCUAACUCCGUGCCAGCAGCCGCGGUAAUUC
Molecule: ribosomal RNA, 406 nt
Filed under: uncultured bacterium
Lineage: Bacteria
Description: partial 16S ribosomal RNA
Rfam family: Bacterial small subunit ribosomal RNA
Source: RNAcentral